GACGAACGCUGGCGGCGUGCUUAACACAUGCAAGUCGAACGGAAAGGCCCUGCUUUUGUGGGGUGCUCGAGUGGCGAACGGGUGAGUAACACGUGAGUAACCUGCCCUUGACUUUGGGAUAACUUCAGGAAACUGGGGCUAAUACCGGAUAGGAGCUCCUGCUGCAUGGUGGGGGUUGGAAAGUUUCGGCGGUCGGGGAUGGACUCGCGGCUUAUCAGCUUGUUGGUGGGGUAGUGGCUUUCCAAGGCUUUGACGGGUAGCCGGCCUGAGAGGGUGACCGGCCACAUUGGGACUGAGAUACGGCCCAGACUCCUACGGGAGGCAGCAGUGGGGAAUAUUGCACAAUGGGCGGAAGCCUGAUGCAGCAACGCCGCGUGCGGGAUGACGGCCUUCGGGUUGUAAACCGCUUUCGCCUGUGACGAAGCGUGAGUGACGGUAAUGGGUAAAGAAGCACCGGCUAACUACGUG
Molecule: ribosomal RNA, 468 nt
Filed under: uncultured bacterium
Lineage: Bacteria
Description: partial 16S ribosomal RNA
Rfam family: Bacterial small subunit ribosomal RNA
Source: RNAcentral